GACGAACGCUGGCGGCGUGCCUAAUACAUGCAAGUCGAGCGGACGAAUCGAAAGCUUGCUUUUGAUUCGUUAGCGGCGGACGGGUGAGUAACACGUGGGCAACCUGCCCUGUAGACGGGGAUAACACCGAGAAAUCGGUGCUAAUACCGGAUAACACGAAAUGUCGCAUGACGUUUCGUUGAAAGACGGCGCAAGCUGUCGCUACAGGAUGGGCCCGCGGCGCAUUAGCUAGUUGGUGAGGUAACGGCUCACCAAGGCGACGAUGCGUAGCCGACCUGAGAGGGUGAUCGGCCACACUGGAACUGAGACACGGCCCAGACUCCUACGGGAGGCAGCAGUAGGGAAUCUUCCGCAAUGGACGAAAGUCUGACGGAGCAACGCCGCGUGAGCGAAGAAGGCCUUCGGGUCGUAAAGCUCUGUUGUUAGGGAAGAACAAGUAACGCAGUAACUGGCGCUACCGUGACGGCACCUAACGAGAAAGCCACGGCUAACUACGUG
This 498-nucleotide ribosomal RNA is filed under the name uncultured bacterium. RNAcentral describes it as "partial 16S ribosomal RNA". It matches the Rfam family "Bacterial small subunit ribosomal RNA", at positions 28 to 507 of the family's 1533-position model. The record is from RNAcentral.